This is a long non-coding RNA of Notolabrus celidotus (New Zealand spotty), 246 nucleotides long. RefSeq lists it as uncharacterized. NCBI's taxonomy places the organism in Eukaryota, Metazoa, Chordata, Actinopteri, Labriformes, Labridae. The transcript is spliced from 3 exons. The record is from RefSeq and is a predicted model, not a curated record.
UGAAGUUGAGGAACUUAUUUGAUGUAUCAACAUGAAAUAAGGAGAUCACUGGGAGAAAUUACAAAUCAGGAGUCCAGUGGGAGACUGCAGCCCUGAUCGGGAGUGUUGGCAGGUGGGCGCUCUGCAAUGGAUCAGUGUGAGGACAGAGAGGAGGGAGCUCCUCCCUCUAAAACCACUCUGUGUGGGGAACAUGAAGCUCAGAGCCCAGAGCAGCAUGGAACAGACUCUCCUGGACCUGGAUCCAGC